CAGUAUAUUCGUAUAGUUAUAUUAAGCAACACAGUUUCAAUUUAUUGGAUUCUAAACAAUCAAGCAACAAAAAUCACAAUUCAAGAACAGAAAUAAAGCUUAAAUCUGCAGAAAUUACAAGCAAAGGCUCAUGGGCCGAAUCUUACCAAAAUAACUCCAUGUGGAACUAAGCAAGUCUAGAAUAAAUUGUCCAGAUUAAUAAUACAAGGAAUGGAAUAUAUAUGGCCACCACGCCCAUGUACAAAAGAAAUAUGCACAUUUAUUUGAAAGAAAGUGAUUAAAGCGAGACAAGGUUGCAGAGAAAAGAAUGCAAAUAAUUAAAGAGAAACACUUGGGACAUGGAACAACAAGACUGUAGCUCGAAGGGGGGAGAAAAGUACCCUGCAACCAAGAGAAAGACGAUACAAGCUUUAGAAUGGGUCGAGCUUUAUUAAAACCUUAUCGAGCUUUAUUAAAGAAUUGCAAAUUGAGAAUUAGAUUGGUGCAAGCAUUACCCGGGUGGAGACUAGACUAGUCAUUAGUGAAGGAUGAUAAAGACAAACUUUUCGCUGUAAAGACAAACUUUUCAAGCAAGGAAGCUUACCCAGUAUCCCCAUUGGAUCAUCCUCAAUCUCACAUUUCGACAUAAACAAUUUCUUAAGUUUUGAGCUGAUGAACUCAAGCUCACACUCUGCUAGCGCCUUCCCUAACUUAACAUAAAUCGACAAUUCACGAAGAUUGGGACAUGUGAAUGCCUUGUUCAAUCGUAAAAAUAGGACAUUUCUCGGCCGAUAAUUGGCAUGAAAAAUGUCCUGCGGAUGCAACACUUAUUAAUUAGUGUCUUAUUUUACUCUUAAAAAAAUUAGUGUCCUAUUUUUAGAAGUCCGAAAGUUAUUGUCCUAAUUUCCAAAUCAAUCUAGGUUACUGUCCUAAAAAACCCUCGAACUCAAAUAAAAGUUCUCAUUAGUGACAUGAGGAUUAAUAACUAUUAUGCGUGUUACAAAAAUUAAUAACAGGAUUACAUGUCACUAAUUUUUAUGACACGAAUAUUAGCUACCAAGUAGAUACUUUUAGUAUAGUGUAUAUGAAAUAGACAAAUGUUUUUAUGCAGAUUACUAACAUGGCCAAUCGCCGAACAACCGACCUGCCUGUUUUG
Long non-coding RNA from Salvia miltiorrhiza (redroot sage), 1135 nucleotides. RefSeq lists it as uncharacterized. The transcript is spliced from 2 exons. The record is from RefSeq and is a predicted model, not a curated record. NCBI's taxonomy places the organism in Eukaryota, Viridiplantae, Streptophyta, Magnoliopsida, Lamiales, Lamiaceae.